Molecule: ribosomal RNA, 254 nt
Filed under: uncultured microorganism
Description: partial 16S ribosomal RNA
Rfam family: Archaeal small subunit ribosomal RNA
Source: RNAcentral
UACCGACGGCCCGAGUGGUAGCCACUCUUAUUGGGUCUAAAGCGUCCGUAGCCGGCUUGGCAAGUCCCCUGGGAAAUCUGGCGGCUUAACCGUCAGGCGUCCAGAGGAUACUGCCAGGCUUGGGACCGGGAGAGGUGAGAGGUACCUCAGGGGUAGGGGUGAAAUCUUGUGAUCCCUGAGGGACCACCAGUGGCGAAGGCGUCUCACUAGAACGGGUCCGACGGUCAGGGACGAAAGCUGGGGGCACGAACCGG